This 301-nucleotide ribosomal RNA is filed under the name uncultured bacterium. RNAcentral describes it as "partial 16S ribosomal RNA". It matches the Rfam family "Bacterial small subunit ribosomal RNA", at positions 509 to 809 of the family's 1533-position model. The record is from RNAcentral.
CAGCAGCCGCGGUAAUACGUAGGGUGCGAGCGUUAAUCGGAAUUACUGGGCGUAAAGCGUGCGCAGGCGGUUUUGUAAGACAGGCGUGAAAUCCCCGGGCUCAACCUGGGAAUGGCGCUUGUGACUGCAAAGCUAGAGUGCGGCAGAGGGGGAUGGAAUUCCGCGUGUAGCAGUGAAAUGCGUAGAUAUGCGGAGGAACACCGAUGGCGAAGGCAAUCCCCUGGGCCUGCACUGACGCUCAUGCACGAAAGCGUGGGGAGCAAACAGGAUUAGAUACCCCGGUAGUCCCUGUCUCUUAUAA